CAUGAAAUGAAAUGUAUGUUGCUCUGGAUAAGAGCGUCUGCUAAAUGACUAAAA
Molecule: non-coding RNA, 54 nt
Organism: Salmo salar (Atlantic salmon)
Lineage: Eukaryota; Metazoa; Chordata; Actinopteri; Salmoniformes; Salmonidae
Source: Rfam